RNAcentral lists this ribosomal RNA (625 nucleotides) under uncultured bacterium. Its description in RNAcentral is "bacterial SSU rRNA". It matches the Rfam family "Bacterial small subunit ribosomal RNA", at positions 867 to 1502 of the family's 1533-position model. The record is from RNAcentral.
AUCCACCUGGGGAGUACGGUCGCAAGAUUGAAACUCAAAGGAAUUGACGGGGGCCCGCACAAGCGGUGGAACAUGUGGUUUAAUUCGAUGAUACGCGAGGAACCUUACCUGGGCUUAAAUACAGAUUGGCGUUUCGGGAAACCGGAUUCCCUUCGGGGCGAUUUGCAAGGUGCUGCAUGGUUGUCGUCAGCUCGUGCCGUGAGGUGUCGGGUUAAGUCCCAUAACGAGCGCAACCCCUAUCGUUAGUUGCCAGCGGAUCAUGCCGGGGACUCUAACGAAACUGCCGGUGUAAACCGAGAGGAAGGUGGGGAUGACGUCAAAUCGGCACGGCCCUUAUGUCCAGGGCUACACACGUGUUACAAUGGUCGGUACAGAGGGCAGCUACCUGGUGACAGGAUGCUAAUCUCGAAAGCCGGUCUUAGUUCGGAUCGAAGUCUGCAACUCGACUUCGUGAAGCUGGAAUCGCUAGUAAUCGCGCAUCAGCAACGGCGCGGUGAAUACGUUCCCGGGCCUUGUACACGCCGCCCGUCAAGCCAUGGAAGCUGGGGGUACCUGAAGUCUGUAACCGCAAGGAGCGGCCUAGGGUAAAACUAGUGACUGGGGCUAAGUCGUAACAAGGUAGCCG